GAUGAACGCUGGCGGCGUGCCUAAUACAUGCAAGUCGAGCGAACAGACGAGGAGCUUGCUCCUCUGACGUUAGCGGCGGACGGGUGAGUAACACGUGGAUAACCUACCUAUAAGACUGGGAUAACUUCGGGAAACCGGAGCUAAUACCGGAUAAUAUAUUGAACCGCAUGGUUCAAUAGUGAAAGACGGUUUUGCUGUCACUUAUAGAUGGAUCCGCGCCGCAUUAGCUAGUUGGUAAGGUAACGGCUUACCAAGGCAACGAUGCGUAGCCGCCCUGAUAGGGUGGUCGGCCACACUGGAACUGAGACACGGUCCAGACUCCUACGGGAGGCAGCAGUAGGGAAUCUUCCGCAAUGGGCGAAAGCCUGACGGAGCAACGCCGCGUGAGUGAUGAAGGUCUUCGGAUCUUAAAACUCUGUUAUUAGGGAAGAACAAAUGUGUAAGUGACUAUGCACGUCUUGACGGUACCUAAUCAGAAAGCCACGGCUAACUACGUG
Molecule: ribosomal RNA, 497 nt
Filed under: uncultured bacterium
Lineage: Bacteria
Description: partial 16S ribosomal RNA
Rfam family: Bacterial small subunit ribosomal RNA
Source: RNAcentral